UACGUAGGGUGCAAGCGUUAUCCGGAAUUAUUGGGCGUAAAGAGCUCGUAGGCGGUUUGUCGCGUCUGCUGUGAAAACUGGAGGCUCAACCUCCAGCCUGCAGUGGGUACGGGCAGACUAGAGUGCGGUAGGGGAGAUUGGAAUUCCUGGUGUAGCGGUGGAAUGCGCAGAUAUCAGGGAGGAACACCGAUGGCGAAGGCAGGUCUCUGGGCCACUACUGCGCUGAGAAGCGAAAGGCAUGGGGAGCGAACAGG
This 254-nucleotide ribosomal RNA is filed under the name uncultured bacterium. RNAcentral describes it as "partial 16S ribosomal RNA". It matches the Rfam family "Bacterial small subunit ribosomal RNA", at positions 524 to 776 of the family's 1533-position model. The record is from RNAcentral.